UCUUCCCUCUGGCGGCGUGCCUAAUACAUGCAAGUCGAGCGAACAGACGAGGAGCUUGCUCCUCUGACGUUAGCGGCGGACGGGUGAGUAACACGUGGAUAACCUACCUAUAAGACUGGGAUAACUUCGGGAAACCGGAGCUAAUACCGGAAAAUAUAUUGAACCGCAUGGUUCAAUAGUGAAAGACGGUUUUGCUGUCACUUAUAGAUGGAUCCGCGCCGCAUUAGCUAGUUGGUAAGGUAACGGCUUACCAAGGCAACGAUGCGUAGCCGACCUGAGAGGGUGAUCGGCCACACUGGAACUGAGACACGGUCCAGACUCCUACGGGAGGCAGCAGUAGGGAAUCUUCCGCAAUGGGCGAAAGCCUGACGGAGCAACGCCGCGUGAGUGAUGACGGUCUUCGGAUCGUAAAACUCUGUUAUUAGGGAAGAACAAAUGUGUAAGUAACUAUGCACGUCUUGACGGUACCUAAUCAGAAAGCCACGGCUAACUACGUG
RNAcentral lists this ribosomal RNA (497 nucleotides) under uncultured bacterium. RNAcentral describes it as "partial 16S ribosomal RNA". It matches the Rfam family "Bacterial small subunit ribosomal RNA", at positions 36 to 507 of the family's 1533-position model. The record is from RNAcentral.